This 406-nucleotide ribosomal RNA is filed under the name uncultured bacterium. RNAcentral describes it as "partial 16S ribosomal RNA". It matches the Rfam family "Bacterial small subunit ribosomal RNA", at positions 29 to 526 of the family's 1533-position model. The record is from RNAcentral.
AUUGAACGCUGGCGGCAGGCCUAACACAUGCAAGUCGAACGAGUGGCGGACGGGUGAGUAAUGUAUGGGGAACUGCCCGAUGGAGGGGGAUAACUACUGGAAACGGUGGCUAAUACCGCAUACCAUCGGAUGUGCCCAGAUGGGAUUAGCUAGUAGGUGGGGUAAAGGCUCACCUAGGCGACGAUCCCUAGCUGGUCUGAGAGGAUGACCAGCCACACUGGAACGGAGACACGGCCCAGACUCCUACGGGAGGCAGCAGUGGGGAAUAUUGAACAAUGGGCGAAAGCCUGAUGCAGCCAUGCCGCGUGUAUGAAGAAGGCCUUCGGGUUGUAAAGUACUUGCAGCGGGGAGGCGUUACUCGCAGAAGAAGCACCGGCUAACUCCGUGCCAGCAGCCGCGGUAAUAC